RNAcentral lists this transfer RNA (67 nucleotides) under Clerus klapperichi. Its description in RNAcentral is "tRNA-Phe". The record is from RNAcentral. Lineage: Eukaryota; Metazoa; Arthropoda; Insecta; Coleoptera; Cleridae.
AUUUAAGUAGCUUAUAUUUAGAGUUUAAUAUUGAAGAUAUUAAGGAAAUAAUUUUUAUUCUUAAAUA